Molecule: ribosomal RNA, 495 nt
Filed under: uncultured bacterium
Lineage: Bacteria
Description: bacterial SSU rRNA
Rfam family: Bacterial small subunit ribosomal RNA
Source: RNAcentral
AAAGGAAUAGACGGGGGCCCGCACAAGCGGUGGAGCAUGUGGUUUAAUUCGACGCAACGCGAAGAACCUUACCUGGCCUUGACAUCCAGAGAACUUUCCAGAGAUGGAUUGGUGCCUUCGGGAACUCUGAGACAGGUGCUGCAUGGCCGUCGUCAGCUCGUGUCGUGAGAUGUUGGGUUAAGUCCCGUAACGAGCGCAACCCCUAUCCUUGGUUGCUAGCAGGUAAUGCUGAGAACUCCAGGGAGACUGCCGGUGACAAACCGGAGGAAGGUGGGGAUGACGUCAGGUCAUCAUGGCCCUUACGGCCAGGGCUACACACGUGCUACAAUGGCGCGUACAGAGGGCUGCCAACUCGCGAGAGUGAGCCAAUCCCUUAAAACGCGUCGUAGUCCGGAUCGGAGUCUGCAACUCGACUCCGUGAAGUCGGAAUCGCUAGUAAUCGCGAAUCAGAAUGUCGCGGUGAAUACGUUCCCGGGCCUUGUACACACCGCCCGU